GGAAUCGUGGCUUAGUGGUAGAGUGCUUGCCUACUAUGCAUGAAGUCCUGGGUUCGAUUCCU
This 62-nucleotide transfer RNA is filed under the name Dipodomys ordii (Ord's kangaroo rat). It matches the Rfam family "tRNA", at positions 1 to 61 of the family's 71-position model. From Rfam's summary of the family: Transfer RNA (tRNA) molecules are approximately 80 nucleotides in length. The record is from Rfam by way of RNAcentral. Lineage: Eukaryota; Metazoa; Chordata; Mammalia; Rodentia; Heteromyidae.